Molecule: ribosomal RNA, 662 nt
Filed under: uncultured Actinomycetes bacterium
Lineage: Bacteria; Bacillati; Actinomycetota; Actinomycetes
Description: bacterial SSU rRNA
Rfam family: Bacterial small subunit ribosomal RNA
Source: RNAcentral
GGGUAACCAAGCCUAUUACGGAGCGGCGAACGGGUGAGUAACACGUGAGCAACCUGCCCCGAAGACCGGGACAAGCCGGGGAAACCUGGUCUAAUACCGGAUGUCUUCACCGAGUCGCAUGGCUUGGUGAAGAAAUGGAUUCCGCUUCGGGAUGGGCUCGCGGUCUAUCAGCUUGUUGGUGGGGUAACGGCCUACCAAGGCGACGACGGAUAGCUGGUCUGAGAGGACGAUCAGCCACACUGGGACUGAGACACGGCCCAGACUCCUACGGGAGGCAGCAGUGGGGAAUCUUGCGCAAUGGGGGAAACCCUGACGCAGCGACGCCGCGUGCGGGAUGAAGGCCUUCGGGUUGUAAACCGCUUUCAGCAGGGACGAAAUUGACGGUACCUGCAGAAGAAGGCCCGGCCAACUACGUGCCAGCAGCCGCGGUAAUACGUAGGGGCCAAGCGUUGUCCGGAUUUAUUGGGCGUAAAGAGCUCGUAGGCGGUUCGGCAAGUCAGCUGUGAAAUCUCCACGCUCAACGUGGAGAGGUCAGCUGAGACUGCCGUGACUAGAGUCCGGUAGGGGAGUGUGGAAUUCCCGGUGUAGCGAUGAAAUGCGCAGAUAUCGGGAGGAACACCAGUAGCGAAGGCGGCACUCUGGGCCGGUACUGACGCUGAGGA